RNAcentral lists this long non-coding RNA (1158 nucleotides) under Canis lupus dingo (dingo). RNAcentral's name for it is "lncRNA (ENSCAFG00020014646.1)". Lineage: Eukaryota; Metazoa; Chordata; Mammalia; Carnivora; Canidae. The record is from RNAcentral.
AUGAUUUUCUCCAGUUGUGCUGGGGAACGGGUCAGCCGAGCUUCUCUGGGCUCCCAGGCGGGACACCAGCCACUACGGAGAUCUUUUUGCAGGGGGACUGGGCCCUGCAGCUGUGCGCCCUCCCGGUCGGGGUCGAGGAGGACCCCGGUGCAUGACCUCUCCUCCCACCACCUCAUCCCACCCUCUCCCCGCAGGGCGAGUGUUCCCCCAAGUGCCGCGGCCACUUCGUGGGGGAGACCGUGUGCGUGGCCUGGUUCUCCUUCGAGUUCCUGCUGUGCUCACUGCAGGCGGAGAGCAAGUGCACCUUCCUGCGGUCGCCGCUCGACAUCAUCUACAUCCUGGCCAUCCUGCCCGUCUACGCGUCGCGCUCGUGGGGUUGGUGGCCGGGGGCGCGGGCGCCGUCGCGGGGGGCGCGGCGCUGCUGGAGCUGGAGCGCGCGGGGCUGGGGCUGGGGCUGGCGCUGCGGCUGCUGCGGGCACUGCGCGCCCCUCGCUGGGGCUGCGCUCGCUCGGGUCACGGUGCGCCGCUGCGAGCUCGGCCUGCUGCUCCUCUUCCUGUGCGUGGCCAUGGCGCUGUUCGCGCCGCCCGUGCACCUGGGCACCUGGGCACCUGGCCGAGCGCGAGCUGGGCGGGCGCACGUCGCGACUUCUCCAGCGAGCCGGCCAGCUACUGGUGGGCCGUCAUCUCCAUGACCACCGUGGGCUACGGCGACACCGGGCAGGCGGUGGCGCUCAGCAGCAUCCUCAGCGGCAUCCUGCUCAUGGCCUUCCCGGUCACCUCCAUCUUCCACACCUUCUCGCGCUCCUACUGCGAGCUCAAGGAGCAGCAGCAGCGCGCUGCCAGCCCCGCGGCCCUGCGCGAGGACAGCACGCGCUCAGCCACCGCCACCGCCACCGCCACCGCCACCGCCACCGCCACGGAGGGCAGCUGGCCGGGGCCGGGCGGCGCGGGUCAAGGCGGGGUCCCCGUGCCUGGGGUGUACAGGACUGCGCCCCGCCAGUAGGAGCUCGGCCCUCCCUCGCCGCCCCGCCCCCUCUGGAACCCUUUGCUUCUGGCUCGGGCGGGGGUGAGAGGCGCCCCUGCACCGGCAGUCAGCCCGUGCCCUUCUCUCCUACUUCCCUUCGGAUCCGACUCCGCCCAGAAACUCCCAGCGAGUAG